RNAcentral lists this long non-coding RNA (1006 nucleotides) under Dasypus novemcinctus (nine-banded armadillo). RNAcentral describes it as "lncRNA (ENSDNOG00000052904.1)". The record is from RNAcentral. Lineage: Eukaryota; Metazoa; Chordata; Mammalia; Cingulata; Dasypodidae.
CCAGGGGAAAAGCCGGAAGUCAGGUGAGUAGCAGGUGGCAGACCUGGGCUACCUGAGACACGGGUUUUUGUGGGAGACCAAGGACGUGCUUACGGGACCAACCAAAGUGGUCCCAAAGAGGUGGGAAAAGGCAGCUUUGAAAUCCUUCUCCAGAAUUUCACUAUCAAAAAUUCCAGAAAGAAAGUGCAAAGUGUCAGUGCACACACACACACAUUUAGGGACUUCCCUUGGCUCUUUCCAUCUUGGGAAACAGCUAAACCUACAUGCAGGUCCUUUUAAGGCUUGUUCUCUUUUAUGUUGAAUUUGAUAUGGAGGGGGGUGGUUGUGACAUUGUCCAGGCUUAGACUCUGUCGACCUUCCCCUGCCCUGAGAGAGGCUGGUUUCCAACUUCCUGCAGGGGCUGCAGAUCCAGUGGCCCACGACAGAGGCCUGCGGUGGAGGUAACUGCUCCCCAAAGACCCCCAGCCUCCCCACGCCAGCAGCUCCCUCUCUCCCCUGACACUCCUCUCUCCUUCCAGCUGCUGUCCAGCUGCUGGCCCGCCGGAAGAAAGCCUCUACGCUGACGUGAGAGACAAGCCUCCUGAGGAGGAUGUGGAGCUGCACAGCCAGGUGAGCUUCCCGCUGCCCAAGAGCCGGCGGCUCGCCUCCGCCCUCCCGCUGCCCGGCUCGCGGCGCUGCCCGCAGCUGCCCGCUCCUUCUGGAGAGCCCUGCGCCUCGCUGCUGGGACCCCGCUGUCUCCUGGCUGUCUCGCCCUAGAUCCUCUCCUCUCUUUGACAGAAGGUCCAGGUCUCAAGGGAAUACGUGAGCAAGCCGUCCCCUAGGCCCCCUCACUCAUUCAGCAGGAUGUAGGGGGAGCCCGCUCUUUACCAGGCUGCGGAAAAGGCAGGCAGCAGGGCUCUCUCACGUCCAGGGGGCGAGGGGCGAUAUGCAAGCAAAUUCAGCGUCCAGGAGGGUAAAGAGCCAUGAGGGAAAGGGAAGCCAGGUGGUGGGGCAGCGAGGCUCCAAC